Long non-coding RNA from Lepisosteus oculatus (spotted gar), 221 nucleotides. RefSeq lists it as uncharacterized. Lineage: Eukaryota; Metazoa; Chordata; Actinopteri; Semionotiformes; Lepisosteidae. The record is from RefSeq and is a predicted model, not a curated record.
CAGCCUCCCUGCAGCAUGUAGACAUCAAGGGUGCCUUCUCCAUUCCCUCUUUAGAAGCUCUGAGGCAAGAGAAGCACAGAGAAGCAGUGAGACUGAAAAAACUGUCCGAAAUUCCCAAAUUCCAUUUCAGAUCACAUCCAAAGGACAAAACCGGUUUCUCCAGGUUUCCAAGACUGGUCUCCGGUGUACAAAAAUAAAGAUGAUGCCUCUUGUGUGAAUUA